GGCGCGUAUUCGGCGGUCACGCGGGCAUUGGCUGGAGCCGUACGCUACUACGGUGCUCCACUUAGUAGUUGUUUACGCUGACUAGCUUUAGGAUUUUUCUUUGGGGCAGGGUUUUAUUCAGUCUUCCCUUGCGGCUGCGAACCUGUUACAUACUUGCUGGUCUCUGUAAGGUGUGUGUCCUUGAUAUUAGGGGGUUAUUGGAGGCUGUUUACACAUAAUGCUGUUGUGUGGUAACUCGGAGGGCCCAAGAAUAAGCAGAAGCCACCCACACGUCACGCAGUUCCAUUAGUCUGAUUUAUAGCGGCCAUUGGCCCUGCUGCAUCAGUGCCUAGAUGACAUCGGCAACCAGCACCUCCCACCAAUGCACGCCCAGUCCUUCUCAGUGGCUGCUGCUCUCUGGAAAAAAAAGUGAAAAAAAGAGAUGGCCGACGGCUGCCCUGACUUGCUGUAGCUGUAACAGGACAGGAAAUCAGGAGAAAGGGAGGAGCGUGAUAAGAAAUGCUAAGAUAACAAAUAAAGUGGACCCAAAAGGAGACUGGAGGCUAAGCCGAGCAGAGGAGACCACGUUCCUUGUUAAAGGGAAAGGAAAGUCUUUUUAACUUGGGGGUGCCACAAUUUAGGCAUCCCAAGUGAUUUUAUUUACUUAACUGAUAACCCAGGCUGCUGCUCCUGUCAACAGAUAACUGCACCGGCCCAGGGUUCUUCCAGAGAUCCAGAGUGAUUCUCUUUUUCCACUUCUUCAGACAUAACUGCACAGUGGUGUGAAAUAGCUGUUUUUUUUUUCUGUUGUUAAAGUAUGGCUUUUCACUCUGCUGUGUAUGCACAGCUGCGGGAAUAAAGAAUAAGCAUGAACAGGAUCCCUCUGUGUAGCUCACUGGGCCUCUGCAGUUUUCUAUUGAUAGGAGCAGCAGCCCUGGGUAUAUACAAUCACUUAGAGCUGCCUAACUUUUGGUACCUUUAAGUAAAAAACUUGCUUCUCCUUUAAAGGGAUGGGAUCUCUCACAUCUUUCCCUGUGUGAUGUGAUGAAAGCCCAAGGAGGAAGUUAUGGACUGAAGAGCUACUGCACAUUCCUUUCCUCUCCUGCUUCAUUUGCAUGUCUUCGACCCAACUGGCUGGCAAGAUUUUACAUAAGAGAAUUAAUUUAAUUUAUGUACAAGAAUAUGACUUUGAUUUUAUCAUUAUAAACAAUUGAAAUGUACUAUGCCACAAAAGAGAUCAUAUUCAGUUAAUCUAUCCAUAGAAAUAUAUAUAUAUAUAUAUAUAAAUGUCAGCACGAAAGAAACAAAAAAUAAACAUUAAGAAACAUGUUCUGCGUUCUCUAAUGAACCAGUGUGGCAGAAGAUUUAGGGGUAGAUUUAUCAAAAUGUAAGAUCAGAGCUC
This is a long non-coding RNA of Xenopus laevis (African clawed frog), 1381 nucleotides long. RefSeq lists it as uncharacterized. The transcript is spliced from 4 exons. The record is from RefSeq and is a predicted model, not a curated record. Lineage: Eukaryota; Metazoa; Chordata; Amphibia; Anura; Pipidae.